AAUCAACGCUGGCGGCGUGCCUCAGACAUGCAAGUCGAACGAUUAAAGCUCUCUUCGGAGAGUGUAUAGAGUGGCGCACGGGUGAGUAACACGUAAGUAAUUUACCCUCGAGUGGGGAAUAACGUCCGGAACGGACGCUAAUACCGCAUAAUGCAGCGGCACCGCAAGGUGACAGUUGUUAAAGAUUUAUCGCUUGAGGAGGAGCUUGCGGCAGAUUAGCUAGUUGGUAAGGUAAUGGCUUACCAAGGCUACGAUCUGUAACCGGUCUAAGAGGACGGUCGGUCACACUGACACUGAAUAACGGGUCAGACUCCUACGGGAGGCAGCAGUCGGGAAUUUUGGGCAAUGGGCGAAAGCCUGACCCAGCAACGCCGCGUGAAGGAUGAAGUAUUUCGGUAUGUAAACUUCGAAAGAAUGGGAAGAAUCAAUGACGGUACCAUUUAUAAGGUCCGGCUAACUACGUGCCAGCCGCCGCGGU
RNAcentral lists this ribosomal RNA (478 nucleotides) under uncultured bacterium. RNAcentral's name for it is "bacterial SSU rRNA". It matches the Rfam family "Bacterial small subunit ribosomal RNA", at positions 32 to 521 of the family's 1533-position model. The record is from RNAcentral.